UGCGCGUGCGCGCGCUGUGACGUUCCCUACGCGGUCGGGCGUUGGGUUUCGCGGCGCUAGCCGCACUGGUUGUUCAGCACCUUCGGUCCGGUUGAGGUUGUCAAGUCGGACGAAGUAGGUUGUUUCUCUGCAGUUUCCAAAGUGCCUUUCAACUCCUGCCAUGAUUCUGAGGCCUCCCCAGCCAUGUGGAACUGCAGAAGGUUGAUAAGGCAACGGACAGUUAGACAAAGAAACUUUCUCAUUUUCCCACCCGUGAGACCUUCAGUUGGAACCUUAUUUGUCGUCUUUGAAGCAAGAAUAAAAGUAGGAUGGAAGCUUCUGCGAAUUACCCUGAUAUGAGAUUAAAGGUAAGCUCUCUAUGUUGGUGUCCCUACGCACCUAUCUGUUAAGCGCAUUUGUAAAGUACCUACUGUGUGCCCAGAAAAUGGGGACACAGAAGUACAACACCUGCUUCCUGCACUUAAGGAUUUCACAAACUACUGGAGGCGGAGAAACAGCAAAGUGGGAGGAAGAAGCGACAGCAAAAGCAUGUGCAUUGACAUCACUUUGUGAUAAGUACAGUGAUAGAGUAGUUGGGGGCUGUUCCAAGAACACAGAAGGAUCUAUAAUGCUGACAGCAUGUGGAAGGAACUCUGGCUUCCAGUUCUAGGCAGCCAGAUAAUGCCCAAUCUGAAACAAAACAUAAUGCACCUCAAUCCCUGGUCAAGAUCAAGUGAGAUAAUAUGAGUGAAAGCACUUUGUAAACUGUAAAGGGUCAUUAAAAUGUUAAUAAAAGAGUUUCUUGAUGACAAA
Long non-coding RNA from Symphalangus syndactylus (siamang), 792 nucleotides. RefSeq lists it as uncharacterized. The record is from RefSeq and is a predicted model, not a curated record. NCBI's taxonomy places the organism in Eukaryota, Metazoa, Chordata, Mammalia, Primates, Hylobatidae.